UACGUAGGGUGCGAGCGUUGUCCGGAAUUAUUGGGCGUAAAGAGCUUGUAGGCGGUUUGUCGCGUCUGCCGUGAAAAUCCGGGGCUCAACCCCGGACUUGCGGUGGGUACGGGCAGACUAGAGUGUGGUAGGGGAGACUGGAAUUCCUGGUGUAGCGGUGAAAUGCGCAGAUAUCAGGAGGAACACCGAUGGCGAAGGCAGGUCUCUGGGCCACUACUGGCGCUGAGAAGCGAAAGCGUGGGGAGCGAACAGG
This 253-nucleotide ribosomal RNA is filed under the name uncultured bacterium. RNAcentral describes it as "partial 16S ribosomal RNA". It matches the Rfam family "Bacterial small subunit ribosomal RNA", at positions 524 to 776 of the family's 1533-position model. The record is from RNAcentral.